RNAcentral lists this long non-coding RNA (1025 nucleotides) under Strigops habroptila (Kakapo). RNAcentral describes it as "lncRNA (ENSSHBG00005013485.1)". Lineage: Eukaryota; Metazoa; Chordata; Aves; Psittaciformes; Psittacidae. The record is from RNAcentral.
AUUGAUUUAUAGCUAUUAGAGACUAUAAUUAGCCAACCAGCUGGGAAGCUGUGUGUUAUCUGCCCGGUGGGAGCAGCCUUGAGAAGCAGUCAUCUCUGAGGGGCUGCCCCAUCCCUGCGAGCAGCGCCGCUUGGUUGCAUCUUUGGAGGAUUUUACUCCACACUUUUUGCUUUCCCUUUUAUCUCCUCUUUUGCUGACAUCUGGCAUCCGCGAGCUCACCUCAAGCCUCCCUCUUCUCCCUUAUCUCCUCCCGCGUUCCUGCAAGGUCACAAACUCGCCUUCACGCUCCCCCUGUCCACGCAGGAGUUUCCGAUGCUGGGCUGACCAGCUUGGACCAGGUUGUUAUCAAAGCGUUCCCAGCCAGCAGCAAAGCCUCCCACUGCUGUCAGCGCCUAACACAAGGCAGAUGUUACAUGAAAGUGCUGGAGGGGCUGGGUGAGAUGUCCGUACCUUGUACUUACAACUUCCUGGGAGUGCUGCUUCCAUAGGAAUGCAGGGAAAUAAGGAGGAGGGGACGCUGGAGGUGCCUGGCAGAGGCACCCAGUGCCUGGCUGCUCCAGGAGGCCUGGCCAUGCGUCGGACCAACACUGGGCUCCAUCCCUAGGGCUGCUGCCAGCGUUAGGAGGUGACCGGACACCGCAGCAGCUCCAGCAGCACGUUGGCCACCGGCCACCCUGGUGCUGGAGCCACCGUGCCGCAGGAGCAGCUCCUCGUUGGCAAAGCAGGGUGCUGAUCCCUCCAGGGCCCUUCUCCUCGCUGGGACCGCGGCCAGGAGGAGCUUUUGUCAGGAUGUUCUCACCGAUGGGCUGCAGGAGAGGCUUCCCCAGGCCGGUAGGUGGGUUUGUGACCCUCCUGCUGCCACGCAGCUCGGGCUGCCAGGGCGGUGGGAGAGGGGGAGCUUUGGGGGCAAGGAGGAUGCUCCAUCGCUUCGGAUGCUGAGGAGGCAGGAGAGCAUCACUGAUGUAUGGGGAAGAAUUGGGAAUCAUCUGCAGCCUCAUCCGGGGGAGGAGGAUGGAUGGGCUCCU